UUCUUUUUUUUCUUUUUUUUCUUUUUUUUUUCUUUUUUUUUUCGC
RNAcentral lists this non-coding RNA (45 nucleotides) under Togula jolla. The record is from RNAcentral. Lineage: Eukaryota; Dinophyceae; Gymnodiniales; Gymnodiniaceae.